GCUCGAAUGGUCUAGUUGGUUAUGACGACUGCCUGACACGCAGUAGGUCCCGAGUUCAACUCUCGGUUCCAGUA
RNAcentral lists this transfer RNA (74 nucleotides) under Perkinsus olseni. It matches the Rfam family "tRNA". From Rfam's summary of the family: Transfer RNA (tRNA) molecules are approximately 80 nucleotides in length. Their secondary structure includes four short double-helical elements and three loops (D, anti-codon, and T loops). Further hydrogen bonds mediate the characteristic L-shaped molecular structure. tRNAs have two regions of fundamental functional importance: the anti-codon, which is responsible for specific mRNA codon recognition, and the 3' end, to which the tRNAs corresponding amino acid is attached (by aminoacyl-tRNA synthetases). tRNAs cope with the degeneracy of the genetic code in two manners: having more than one tRNA (with a specific anti-codon) for a particular amino acid; and 'wobble' base-pairing, i.e. permitting non-standard base-pairing at the 3rd anti-codon position. The record is from Rfam by way of RNAcentral. Lineage: Eukaryota; Perkinsozoa; Perkinsida; Perkinsidae.